UACGUAGGAGGCAAGCGUUAUCCGGAAUUACUGGGCGUAAAGGGCGUCUAGGUGGGAUUGCAAGCGGGGUGUGAAAGCUCCUGGCUUAACUGGGAGAGUGCGCUCCGAACUGCGGCUCUAGAGGGCAGGCGACGCUGAUGGAAUACCCGGUGGAGUGGUGAAAUGCGUAGAGAUCGGGUGGAACACCAGUGGCGGAGGCGGUCAGCGAGCCUGUGCCUGACACUGAAGCGCGAAAGCGUGGGGAGCAAACGGG
This 253-nucleotide ribosomal RNA is filed under the name uncultured bacterium. RNAcentral describes it as "partial 16S ribosomal RNA". It matches the Rfam family "Bacterial small subunit ribosomal RNA", at positions 524 to 776 of the family's 1533-position model. The record is from RNAcentral.